Molecule: unclassified non-coding RNA, 365 nt
Filed under: Hevea brasiliensis (rubber tree)
Lineage: Eukaryota; Viridiplantae; Streptophyta; Magnoliopsida; Malpighiales; Euphorbiaceae
Source: RNAcentral
AGCUCAGAGAAAUUGAGUAAGUGUUUUUUUUUCCUCGCAUCUCACCAUGAAUUUUUUUAAGAUGAAUGUGUGAAUAUUACUACAGAAGGUUGAUAAUUUCAUAUAGGAAUUGAAUUGGCUGAGAUAUGGAAUUUUCAAAGUUCAGGUUUUGCUUGAAUAAAUCUAAAUGGCAGCUGGAGGAAGAUGUGAUACCUCUGGCUCUGGUGUACCAAAUACAAAUUUUUUAAGUUUAAAGCUGCAUUGCAUUUUAAGCCCAAAGAAAUGCAGAUUGACUAUUUCUAACUUGUUUAUUGAAUAUUAAACUAUAAUAAUAAUAUAAAGAUUGGGCAGUUAGGCUAUAUGUUCUGUUCUUAAAGCAUUGGAAG